UUGACCUGAAGAGUUUGAUCCUGGCUCAGAUUGAACGCUGGCGGCAGGCCUAACCCAUGCAAGUCGAGCGGCAGCACGGGUACUUGUACCUGGUGGCGAGCGGCGGACGGGUGAGUAA
RNAcentral lists this ribosomal RNA (118 nucleotides) under Pseudomonas syringae pv. syringae PD2766. RNAcentral's name for it is "partial 16S ribosomal RNA". It matches the Rfam family "Bacterial small subunit ribosomal RNA", at positions 1 to 113 of the family's 1533-position model. Lineage: Bacteria; Pseudomonadati; Pseudomonadota; Gammaproteobacteria; Pseudomonadales; Pseudomonadaceae. The record is from RNAcentral.